This is a non-coding RNA of Acanthosepion pharaonis, 100 nucleotides long. The record is from the annotation of a GenBank genome assembly. NCBI's taxonomy places the organism in Eukaryota, Metazoa, Mollusca, Cephalopoda, Sepiida, Sepiidae.
UGCUGAAACACCAGUUCCUGUAUGAUCACAGAAGUUAAGCAGCAUCAAGCUUGGUCGGUACCUAGAUGGGUGACUGCUUGGGAAUAUCAAGUGCAGUAAG